CAAUGAUUUCGUGCAACGCGGCCUCGCUUCUGGAAGUGACGCUGGGCCGAGUUUUGGCCUCGCACCUGCGAGGAGUGAGCUCCUCUCGCGGCUGCUCGUUGUUCGGCGCCUGCAAGGCCUGUUGCACCAAGUCCGGCUGCGCCAUCUGCUGUGUCCGCCAUGUUCACAUUGCUAGCAACAGCGUUCUGUGCGAUCAUCAUUGCAUCUGUCACAACCCAAGCAAACGCCGAUGAAAAAGGGAGACCAGCGACGCGAUGCCACGCGGUGCAAAUUCCAGAUGUCAUGGGGAUCAGAGAG
Long non-coding RNA from Dermacentor albipictus, 297 nucleotides. RefSeq lists it as uncharacterized. NCBI's taxonomy places the organism in Eukaryota, Metazoa, Arthropoda, Arachnida, Ixodida, Ixodidae. The record is from RefSeq and is a predicted model, not a curated record.